GUCCAUAGUGCCUGGCACAGAACUCCUGUUGAGGAACUCCUGUUCCCUCAAACCCCUGGAACACCACACAGAGAACUAUCUCCAGGCCUGGACUUCCCCUGACUUGGAGACAGCCUUAUUCUCAGAUCUCUCUCUCUUUUAAAAUGGACUAUCCUCUUUACAACCCAGAGAGCCCCAUCCAAAUGUCACUCAUGGUGGAAGAAAUCUGAUGCCAUGUCUUGAGGACACUCAAGUGGCCUAUGGAGAGGCAAACAUAAAGAUAAGAAACCCAAUCUCAAGCACUAUGAGACUCCCUCCUCUCCAUCUCCAAGGGUCAGGCCAUGGUCUUAGUCAUUGCCAAGAGCAUCACAGAAGGCCUCUGCCUCCGGUUCCUACCUGGGCCCUUUCUAUGCUCGUUAACUGAUGCUGCAGCCUGACUUCUUCAAGACUAAGUUGGGCUGUAUGCUUGCAGUCAUGGGAGGAAAACAAAAGAGGGUAUAAACACAAUGCAAUGCCUCGACAAAUCACUCCAUCUCAGGGGGUCAGAAACUAAAUUAAAUGUUAGGAAAAACAGAAAAGAAAUAAGCAACAUAGUGCCAGCCUUUGGGUUCUUAGACACUCAAAAGGAAACAGAAAGUACAGAAACAAUACACCAGGAAAUAAAAGAGGGCAUUUUUAGAAGUACCAUUUAAAUUGCAAGGGCUGCAGGAAUCAACAGAAGGAAAUAAUCGGGGCGAGGGGGAGGGGACUUAAUAAGAAUAAUAAUUAUAUAUUCCCUCAAAUUUGUAUGGAAUUUAUAAAUUAUGAGGGACUUUUCGCACAUUUAUAACUUCAUUUUAGACACGCACAAUGAAAUUAAGUAAAAUGGGGUUGGCGGGACAGAUGGUAACAACUUUAUUUUACAGAUGAGGAACUUGGACUCAGCUAGCUUUGGCGACUUGUUGAGAAAGUCAGAACCAGUUAGUUGUGGAAUAUAAAAUUGAGCUCGGCUCUCUUCCUACCUAGUCUUUUCUCUGCUCCGCUCCCACACUUCAGUGAGAGUUGCUUUCCUGAAGGAGUAAGUUCUAAAGCAGGAUUGGAAGUUCCUAUAGGGACAAAGAGAGGAGGCAUCCACGAGUGGCAAGGAGUGUGAAAGGGAUGAAAAACACAUAAGAAGAAAUGGAGACAGGCAGAAGGUCCCAGCUACAGGACAGAAAAGCCAGGGUGUGGGCUUCUGAGAGAUGAUGCUGAGUGGUGAGUCACGGGUGACUAAGGGAGCCAUUGACAUCAGAUUGCAAAUUCUCCCCUCCUACCCCGUGACGAAGAAGUUUAUCUCCUAUGUCUCUUUAUAUAUGAAAAACCAUAAAGAAAACACCAGUAUCUUCACAUAAUGUACCAUCCAAUGAAAGCAUACGCCAUCUCACUUGGGCCCUUUAUCAAUCUUAGUCACAGUGCCCAAUAUCGUUUCCAUUUCUCAUUCUCUGAGUUCUGUUAUCCAAAGCUUAUCCUCUUGCCUGGACUAUAGAGACAGAGGUGAAAUCUUUGAGAAGUGGAUCCUAUCCACUUGUCAUUACACCUCUGUAAUUCUUAGUGAUGUUCCACGUUGCCUCCCACACUGACCCUGUACAAACCAGUGCAAGAGUUUCGGGGGUGGGGGACUGUUACUUGAGCCAACUUCUUCCAUCCUGCAAAGGCAGGGAUGGAGCUCAGGAGAUGGUGUUUUGCAUCACUACAACUGGAACAAGAUGAAAGGUCUCUGAAGCAAUAAUGAGAUCCAGGCUUGAUUCAGGACAAGAGGCCAGAUGGGAACAGUAGAGCAUUAGGAUGUUGUGACGCUGGGGUAACCUUUCCAUAAUGAUGUUGUGUGGCCUGAAGUUUGAUGCUGAGAAUCUACAGUGAUUUCUGGCUUAGAAAUAAGAAAUUGAUCAGUAAAUGAAAAAAAAAAAAAGUCUACCUGUAUCCAAUCUCUCCCCACAAGCCCCCCUCCCAGCAUUGUUAUCUAUUUGUAUACGCAACAGUAUUUUAGCAAAUGAAAAUUCUCAGAAUUCUAAUCACAUCCUUAUCCCAAAGCCUGGAUUUCAUCAGAAAGCUUUAUGGUGCUUCUGACUCAGUAGAGUUAGUUAUCCUGUUUAAUUGGAUUGACAGUGACAAUUGUAAUUACCUUAGAUGAGAUUGCCUGUAAUGUAAUUAUACUUCCUUCAUCUGCAUGAGCUGGACUUGUGGAAUACAUACAGAAGAUGCCUCCAAUUACUGAGAGGUUAAGAAGAACAUUAUAUUGCCUCACAAAUCCUGUUUGUUACUGUAUAGAAUUGUAAGAAUUAUGGAAGAAACUGAAGGAAUUACUCCUCUAAAGCAGAUACUCCUGGAAAGUUAAACAACUUGGCUAAUACUCUCCUGCUGGAUUUGGACAGGAAGACCUCACCAAAGCUGAAAGAGUUCGUGGAAAACCAUGGAUGCCAGUAGAACCUGGAAACCCUACAUGGAGCAUAGUGUUAUGUGGAAAGGCUUUUGGAGCUCAUCCCAUUAGGAAGAAAGGAACCUCAAGUCUAAAUUAACAGCUCAAUCUUAUGGAGAGUUGAGUGGAGUGGCAAAGUAAUUACAUGAAGAGCCAAGUCAUAACUGGAUGAGGACAAUCAACCUGAAGUCUCAGACCAGCCUGCAAAAUCCAACAAGUUCUCGCUAAUAACAAAGAUAAUUAACAACUACAGAGCUUACUGAUGCACAGCAGACCAACUUUACAGGUCCUAAUAUUCUUUUCAUCUUUACACAUGACAAAAGUCAAGUGAAUUUUCUGGAGGUACACAAUAAGCAUUGGCAAAACCAGAAUUGAAACCCAGUUGGCUUCACACCAGAGAAGAAGUUCUUGCCUGGAUCCUAUGAAAUAACAACAAUCUUAUGAAAAUGGCAUACUCUGUGGGAAAUCAAAGUCUUGUGGAAAGAACAGCCCAGGGUAGACUGGCUUUGUCAUAGAAGAUUUGAUGGGCUUGCACUGAAGAGACAUAUUGACUUACAGAUGGCAUCAGAAAUGAGGGAUAUGUUGAAAUCAGAUGUAUGGAGUAGGAUAAAGUGACUUCCAUGUCAUUUAGAUGUCAACAUCAUAAGAUUGAGUGUUGAUAGCUGGGACAGAUGAAAAAUAAAGUUGAAGAGGCAGGGCUGAUUCCUGUGGAAAUUUCAAGCCAGGCUAAGUUUAGACUUGGAUUAUUAGGUAUAAGGAGUCCAGCUGAUUGAUGUUCAGCAUGGGACAUGUUUUAAUAGUGGCAAUUUAGGAAGAUUAAUGCCAUGUUAACUAUGAGAGAUGAAAGAAAGAAAGACCAGCAAUGAUGCACCACAGUUGUCUCCAUGAGACUCAAGAUGAGCCUCUGGACUAGCAGGGUGGCAGAGGGAAUGAACAAAAUGGGAUGAUUUCUUAAGAUAUUCCCAAGGGAGAAAUGAUAGAGCUUAACUGAUUGACGUAAAGGCCACUUUAGAGUGAAUAUAAGAUCAGUAUUUAAUUCAACGGAAGUUUGUCAUGUAAAAAUAAUUCUAUGUUCUGGAACUUUUGAAUAACUUCUUUAGCAUGCAUUUUGUGACUAAAUCUUGCCAGUUUUAUAAGGUUUAAUUUUGUUUUAGCUUAUUUUCUGAUUUUUUUUUUGGAGAAUAAACACUUUGUGAGUUGUUU
This is a long non-coding RNA of Pan troglodytes (chimpanzee), 3616 nucleotides long. RefSeq lists it as uncharacterized. The transcript is spliced from 7 exons. The record is from RefSeq and is a predicted model, not a curated record. NCBI's taxonomy places the organism in Eukaryota, Metazoa, Chordata, Mammalia, Primates, Hominidae.